UGUCGGUCUUCCCACACUGCACACUCCGUGAACCCCGUCAGGCCCGGAAGGGAGCAGCGGCAGCGGAGUGGACAGGUGCUGGGGUCGGGCUGACAGGG
This 98-nucleotide signal recognition particle RNA is filed under the name Wenzhouxiangella sp. Its description in RNAcentral is "signal recognition particle sRNA small type". It matches the Rfam family "Bacterial small signal recognition particle RNA". From Rfam's summary of the family: The signal recognition particle (SRP) is a universally conserved ribonucleoprotein involved in the co-translational targeting of proteins to membranes. Archaeal SRP consists of a 7S RNA and homologues of the eukaryotic SRP19 and SRP54 proteins. In most bacteria, the SRP consists of a 4.5S RNA and the Ffh protein (a homologue of the eukaryotic SRP54 protein). The record is from RNAcentral. Lineage: Bacteria; Pseudomonadati; Pseudomonadota; Gammaproteobacteria; Chromatiales; Wenzhouxiangellaceae.